GAUGAACGCUGGCGGCGUGCCUAAUACAUGCAAGUCGAGCGAAUGGAUUAAGAGCUUGCUCUUAUGAAGUUAGCGGCGGACGGGUGAGUAACACGUGGGUAACCUGCCCAUAAGACUGGGAUAACUCCGGGAAACCGGGGCUAAUACCGGAUAACAUUUUGAACCGCAUGGUUCGAAAUUGAAAGGCGGCUUCGGCUGUCACUUAUGGAUGGACCCGCGUCGCAUUAGCUAGUUGGUGAGGUAACGGCUCACCAAGGCAACGAUGCGUAGCCGACCGGGGAGGGUGAUCGGCCACACUGGGACUGAGACACGGCCCAGACUCCUGCGGGAGGCAGCAGUAGGGAAUCUUCCGCAAUGGACGAAAGUCUGACGGAGCAACGCCGAGUGAGUGAUGAAGGCUUUCGGGUCGUAAAACUCUGUUGUUAGGGAAGAACAAGUGCUAGUUGAAUAAGCUGGCACCUUGACGGUACCUAACCAGAAAGCCACGGCUAACUACGUGCCAGCAGCCGCCGUAA
This 515-nucleotide ribosomal RNA is filed under the name uncultured bacterium. RNAcentral's name for it is "partial 16S ribosomal RNA". It matches the Rfam family "Bacterial small subunit ribosomal RNA", at positions 28 to 523 of the family's 1533-position model. The record is from RNAcentral.